AGGACGAACGCUGGCGGCGUGCUUAACACAUGCAAGUGGAGCGACGAACCAGGGCUUGCCCUGGGGCAGAGCCGCGAACGGGUGAGUAACACGUGGGUUACCUGCCUCGAUGACCGGGACAACCCGAGGAAACUCGGGCUAAUACCGGAUGUGCCCGCAAGGGGAAAGGAAGCUUCGGCCUCCGCAUCGAGAUGGGCCCGCGGCCCAUUAGCUUGUUGGUGAGGUAACGGCUCACCAAGGCUUUGAUGGGUAGCUGGUCUGAGAGGACGAUCAGCCACACUGGGACUGAGACACGGCCCAGACUCCUACGGGAGGCAGCAGUGGGGAAUCUUGCGCAAUGCGCGAAAGCGUGACGCAGCAACGCCGCGUGGGGGAAGAAGGCUUUCGGGUUGUAAACCCCUUUCAGUUGGGACGAAGCCUCAUCGGUGAAUAGCCGCGUGGGUGACGGUACCUUCACAAGAAGCACCGGCUAACUACGUGCCAGCAGCCGCGGU
Molecule: ribosomal RNA, 494 nt
Filed under: uncultured bacterium
Lineage: Bacteria
Description: SSU rRNA
Rfam family: Bacterial small subunit ribosomal RNA
Source: RNAcentral